GCUUACGCCAUACCAGCCUGAAUACGCCCGAUCUCGUCCGAUCUCGGAAGCUAAGCAGGGUCGGGCCUGGUUAGUACUUGGAUGGGAGACCGCCUGGGAAUACCAGGUGCUGUAAGCU
Molecule: ribosomal RNA, 118 nt
Filed under: Oncorhynchus mykiss (rainbow trout)
Lineage: Eukaryota; Metazoa; Chordata; Actinopteri; Salmoniformes; Salmonidae
Source: RNAcentral